This 6641-nucleotide long non-coding RNA is filed under the name Olea europaea subsp. europaea. The record is from RNAcentral. Lineage: Eukaryota; Viridiplantae; Streptophyta; Magnoliopsida; Lamiales; Oleaceae.
AUCGGACAUGCCUAUGAUGAUAUACAGUCUCAAAACCUACGGUUUUUGCAGCAAAUCGUGGAGAGAGAUGAGUACGACAUGAAGGUGAUUAAUUACAAAAGUACUUAAUAGCAUUUCCUUAAAUCAAAUUCUUUUGGAAAUUAAAUUAAUUCAUCCAACUUUACCUACUUAAAAUUUGAAGUGAUGUCUCUAUUUGAUAAUGAAGCCGGUAAAAAAUGUUGAAAUUAUUUUUAUAGCAUGGCUCACGGGAGGGGUUUGCCUUUCCAGUUAUGAUAAUUGUUUUCUUCAGCUCUCUGAUCAAGAAAUUCAUGCUGGUUUGAUUGCACACUUUUCAAGUUAUUACUUUCACCAGAUUUAUCUUGUGAACUGUUUGAUAUUUACAUUGAGUCUGAAAAACAAACUUUAGUCAUCCGUGAAAAUGUUUUGGCAGCUUUAGUGAAACAUACGUACACAUUUGGAACUUGGGAGGUCUAUCUUAGCUUUCAUUUGCAGUAAAAUUCCCCCUUGCUUCCUCCUACGUAAUAUUAUUAUCCUUUUCUUAUUUCUACAAAAGAAUCAGAUUUAUACCGUAUAUAUUGCAGCAGUUAAGCUUUCUCAGUGGCUAAAUAAGGUGAAACUGGACACAAUCGUCCUAGAAAGUUUUCACUUUCCCACUUCCACGAUGUUAAACUCUGUGGUAAUGAUGUUUCUGAACAUACAUGUUUCGUUCUUGUUCUGAAACAAGAACACAGGAUACAAGCAUGUUGUCUUGUCAAGGAUUCUUGCAUUUGUUUUUGCAGUUUUCAUACCGUAAAAGAUGCACAAGUAUUUUUGCUUUCAUUGAGGUUUAUUUUGUGAGUGUCAUCAGGUUGUUUUACCUCCUGUUUCAGCUUGUUUUAGAGGGAGUGCCGGCAACACAGAUGAGAGAUGCCCUAUUGAUGAAGAUGUCAGAUGAAUUCAGAAUUCAAGAGAAAGAAAUAGCUUUUGAGAUUUCUUGAAAAACCGUCUCCAUUACAUGCUGCCCUCUUCUCUAUAUAUAUACAGAUAGAAAAUGGCUUUACAAGGAAAUUAUAUCCUAUAUAUGCUAUACAAUCCCUAAGAAUAUAAAAAUAUAAAUAUGGAAAGAAAUCUUCAUUAUUAUAUACGGUAACACCCCCCCUCAAAUUGAUGCGGGGAAGUCAACCAGCAACAAUUUGCCAACAAGAAAUUGAUGUCGUUGUCGAGUCAAUGCCUUGGUGAAGAUGUCGGCCACUUGAAGAUCAGAAGAAAUGUAAGGAAGAGAUAUAACCCGACCCUCCAAUGUAUCGCGGAUAAAAUAACAAUUAACUUCAAUGUGCUUGGUGCGCUCAUGAAAGACAGGAUUAUUGGCAAUUUGGAUAACACUCAUGUUAUCAGCAUGAAGAGGAGUAGAAUUAGCUUGAGGAAAACCUAGCUCUUCCAGAAUACUGCGUAACCAUAUAAUUUCUGAGCAAGCCAUAGACAAUGCACAAUACUCAGCCUCAGUAAAGGACUUAGAGACACGAUCGUGUUUCUUACAUUUCCAAGAGAUCAAUACAUCACCAAAAAACACACACCAGCCUGUAGUAGAACGUCGUGUAUUCGGGCAAGCAGCCCAAUCAGCAUCAUUAUAAGCAAAAAGCUGAAAAGAUGACCCUGUAGGAAAGAACAACCCACGAGAAGGUGACCCGCGAAGAUAGCGAAUAAGGCGGCGGACUGCAGCAAGGUGAAGAUGCCAAGGAGAAGACAUAAACUAGCUCACUUGAUGGACGGCAUAUGAGAUGUCCGGUCUAGUAGUGCUCAGAUAGAUAAGACUCCCAACCGAGCGACGAUAGAGUGUGGGAUCAUCCAGGACAUCCCCUUCAUCUCUUCUGAAUUUCACAUUUACCUCCAUAGGAGUAUCAACCGAAGAGGUAUCCUCCAAACCAGCUAAUGUGAUAAGAUCUUGAGCAUACUCAUGUUGGUUUAAGAAAUUGCCAUUGUCUCAAUGAUAAACUUUUAGCCCUAAGAAGUAAGUGAGGCGACCCAUGUCCUUCAUAUGGAAAGUGGCAUGCAACAAAUUUUGAAGUUUAAUAAUCACACUACAGUCAGUUCCAGUAAUAAUUAUAUCAUCCAAAUACACCAAAAGGAGAACAAUGCCUGCCGCAGACUUGUGGAAGAAGAGAGAAGAAUCAAACUGACUUUGUGUAAAAUCGAAUGUAAGAAGCGUACCACGAAAUUUUUCAAACCAUGCCCGAGGGGCCUGCUUGAGCCCAUACAAAGAUCGCCUUAACUUACAAACAUCAUGAGGAGAGGUAGCAGGUAAACCAGAAGGAAGCUACAUAUAAAUCUCCUCUUGCAGAUCACCAUGAAGAAAAGCAUUCUUCACAUCCAUCUGAUGUAGUUGCCAUGACUGGGAGGCAGCAAUAGCUAAUAUUGUUCGAACCGUGGUCAUUUUGGCAACAGGGACAAAUGUUUCCUCAUAGUCAACCCCAUAUUCUUGUUUGUUACCUAGAGCUACAAGUCUAGCUUUGUAUCGAUCCAAAGAACCAUCAGGCCGAAGUUUGACUGAGAAAACCCAUUUACUCCCAAUAGGCUUGACCGCAGAAGGACAAGGAACAAUGUCCCAAGUAUGAUUCUCCUUAAGGGCAUGAAGUUCUGCUUGCAUUGCAUCCCGCCAACACUUAUGUUCCAUAGCCUGUUUGUAGCAAGAGGGAAUAGAAAUAGAUGAUAAAGUAGUUACGAGGGAAACAGGAGGAGAGAAACCAUACCGAUUAGGAGGUCGAGAAGGACGAGUAGAUCGACGAAGAUUGGUGACAGAUGUAGAAUGAUCAGGUGCCGAGUCGAGAUCACGAGGGGGCAUAGAGGGAGUACGAACGGACUCAUGUGGAUGACGAUGGGCAUACACAAAAUCAUGUUUAAACCUUUCCACAACCGGAGGGGAAUCAGAAUAACUAGGCAAAGGAGAGAAUGUUGCAGAUGGGGACUCGACGUGAGAGUGAAAGAAAUAUUAAAUUUCAAAGAAAGCCAUAUCUCUAGAGACACGAAUACGACGAGCAUUAGGAUCAUAACAAACAUAACCUUUUUGUGAGGUAGCAUAGCCAAGAAAAGCACAUUGAACAGAUUGAGCAGUAAGUUUAUGUCGUUCAUGAGCAGGGAGAUGCACAAAGCAGACACAACCAAAUGUACGAAGAUCAAAAUAUGAUGGAGGACGACCAAAAAACCUAAAGUAAGGUGAAUCAUGAUUUAAUGUAGGAGAUGGUAAACGAUUAAUUAGAAGGAUAGCAGUAGACAGUGCUUCACACCAAAAAUGAGGAGGAACGGAUGCUUCAAGUAAAAAAGUCCAUACCACAUCCAGAAGAUGGCGAUUUUUCCGUUCAGCAACACCAUUUUGUUGCGGUGUCGAAGGACAAGAACACUGAGACAUGAUUCCUUUGCUUUGGAGAAAGGCUUGAAACUCAUUAGACAUGUACUCUCCCCCAGAGUCAGAUUGUAGGAUUUUGAUAUUGACAGAAAACUGAUUCUCAAGAAGAGCAAGAAAGCGCUUAAAGCAAGAAAACUUCAGACUUAGCCUUUAAAAAAUAAACCCAAGUGAAGCGACUAAAGUCAUCAAUGAAAGUAACAAAAUACUUGUAGUGUGCAUGAGAAACAACAAAGGCAAUCCCCCAAACAUCACUAUGGAUAAUAUCAAAACAUUGUGAGGCAUGAGAUGCAUGAGAAGGAAACAGUAAAACUUUACUUUUGCCAAUUUUGCAAGUUGUAAAAUCAAACGAAAGAUUAAGUAAAGAACUUGUUUUAUUUCCCAAUAAACCAGAAUUAAAUAAAGUACGAAGUACAUCCGAGUUUGGGUGGCCUAAACGUUUAUGCCACAUUUUAUUUCCAGUAUUAUCAGUACUACAUGCUAAGGAAAGUAAAGGAAAACGGAGAAUGACUGGGGAAGGAGAAAUAUGUAAAGGGAAUAGCCGUCCCACUUUAGGCCCCUUCGCGAUCAUCUUCCCGGACACUGGAUCCUGUACAACACAGCCAGAGCGAGAAAAAUGGACAUUAUAAUUAUUGUCAACCAAUUGACCAACAGAGAUAAGAUUCGUAGAAAGGAUAGGAGAUACAAAAACAUCAGGUAAGGACGGGGAAAGAUCACCAAUAGCACUUAUAGGCAGAGAAUUGCCAUUGGCGGUAUUAAUUUUCAUAUUGCCAUCAUAUUUUUUGACAUUGGAAAGGAGUUCAGUUGUAUUAGUCAUAUGAUUAGAGGCACCGGAGUCAAAAAACCAUGGCUUAGAAGAAGUGGAGUGAUUACCUGAGAUUCCAAAAGCAGAAAAAAUCAUCUGUUGUACCAUUUCAGGAGUGAGUGUGUUCGGAUUUGGACUAGGAGCAACUUGUGAGGCAGUAUGCAAUGUAGCAGAACUAGAGGCACCAGUGGAGGCAUGAUAUGCUGUGCUGUGUUUCCUUUCAGGGCGAAUGGGACAAGCUAAGAGAAUAUGACCUAGUUUCUUGCAGUAAUGACAAGAUUUCUUAGGACAAUCUCGAGCAAGGUGAUAAAAAACUUUACAGUUAUAGCACUGGACAUUACGCAUGUCCCGAUUCCUAUUCCUCCCUUGUGCUGCAUAAGCUACAGGAAUCAGAGUGUCGAUAGCAGUCCUUUGUUCCAAGGUUGCUUGAGUUAAGAUACGUUGUUCUUCACGGAGAAGUUCACUCAAACAUACAUCCAAAGAUGGUACCGGAUGACGAUUCAUCAGAUUAGAACGUGCAAUCUCAAAAUCUGAACGCAGCUUCAUCAAAAAUUGGUCUCUCUUACUUGUUUCAUGCACUUUUUGAACAGCAGAAAGAGCUGCAACGAGAACAUGAGCAUAAACAAUAUUCGAAUAAUCAGUCCAGAGAUUUUGGAAACUCGAAUAAUAAUCCUCAAUUGAAAGAUUUCCUUGGGUAAAAUUAGCCAUCUCAUAUUCCAAUUGGAAACGCCGAGCCGUAUUGUCCUGCUUGUAAAUCUUGCUCAAGUAAUUCCACAUGUCAGCGGCUGUUUUAUAAGGACUAAUUAUUGAGUACGAUGUGAGGCUCAACCGAGCUAAGAAUCCAUGUCAUAACCCGAGCAUCCUUUAUUUCCCACUUAGACAAAGCAUCGACGUCUGUAGGGGCGGGAUCACUUCCAUCAAUAUGACCCCAUAAGUCCUUUCCUUUGACAAAUAAUUGAAAUUGAAACUCCCAAGCAAAAUAAUUCUUUCCAAUAAAACGAAUGUGAAACUUAUCCGAAGACAUGAUGAAAUAAAUAGACUACUAUAUUAUUAUUGAACAAAUAAAAUACUCUUGCAAGAAGAAAAAUUAUUAAAUUCAAACAAUGCACCGACUGCAGCCUUCAAGCCAAACAGUAAACUGACCCACUAACCAGAGGAACCCGACUCACACCAGACAGCGAACAACACCAACGAACCCUAGCCGGAAGACGAGACCCAAACAACUGAGAGAGUCGACCGGGAAGAGAAGACUAGAAAUCCAACAGAACCCGACACAAACAGAGACCCACUGGAAUCUGAAUGGGAAGAACAAAACAGUGUCGCUAGAACUAGAACCCGGCAGAACAAGGACCAAAAAAGCCACACCAAAAGUCGGAGAUCAGAAGCACCGAAUCACACACCAAAAAUCGGCGACCGAAAGUGUCGAAUCGCCCACCAAGAAUCGACGACCAGAAGUGCCGAACACAACCCAGAUGGAAUCGCCCAAGGAGAAUCGACGGCAAGAAUCAGGUACCAAGCUCUGAUAUCAUGUCAGAUGAAUUCAGAAUUCAAGAGAAAGAAAUAGCUUUUGAGAUUUCUUGAAAAACCGUCUCCAUUACAUGCUGCCCUCUUCUCAAUAUAUAUACAGAUAGAAAAUGGUUUUACAAGGAAAUUAUAUCCUAUAUAUGCUAUACAAUCCCUAAGAAUAUAAAAAUAUAAAUAUGGAAAGAAAUCUUCAUUAUUAUGUACGGUAACAGAAGAAGCGUUACUUGGAAAGAAUAAAUUGUCAAAACAAGGCAACUGUUAGAUUUUAUGAUACUAAAGCUGCUAGAAUUGAAUAUCAGGUAAUAUUGAGGUGCCUCUGUUCUGUAGUGCCGAAUGUUGUGUCCGAUCAAUAUCAUAUUGGUAUUCUUUUUAUUGCAGUUGAAAUCCUACUCGGACCAAAUUCGGAGGUUUUCUAAAAUUAGGGCUCGAAGAACAGUUACUUUAGAGAACGCCCAAAAAAGAGUGUUAUAUGUGAGGAAGUCAUCUCAGCAACUGAGGAACACAUUUGAAGAAUCAAAAUCAAAGCUUGACAUAAGUACAGUUGGAUUUGCUAAGCUGCAGAUAGAAUUGUAAUGUGAUGUCAUUCCUAUCAUUUCUUGUUUUUAAACUAUUUCUCCUUACUAGGUUUGAGAAGAAAAGAAUAGAAGAAGACGUAGAAACUCUGAGAAGGAAAACAAAAAGAUUGAAGUUGCAUUCCAAGGUUUCAUCCCCAACUGAAAAGCUUCUGCAGGAACUUGGAGAAUACAAGGAAAUACUGAAGUGCAGUAUUUGAUUUGAUAGAAGUGAAGAGGUAUAUCCAUUUGGAAACAGGGAUCCCUGUGAAGUAUCAAGACAUUUACAACUUAAAAAUGAAACUCAAAUAUUAAUAAUGCUAAUACGCUACAAAGAAUUUGAAAGAUAAUAAAUGUGAUGUAUGAGGGAAAUGGCAAAAUUAUG